RNAcentral lists this ribosomal RNA (460 nucleotides) under uncultured bacterium. RNAcentral describes it as "partial 16S ribosomal RNA". It matches the Rfam family "Bacterial small subunit ribosomal RNA", at positions 338 to 795 of the family's 1533-position model. The record is from RNAcentral.
CCUACGGGGGGCUGCAGUGAGGAAUAUUGGUCAAUGGACGAGAGUCUGAACCAGCCAAGUAGCGUGAAGGAUGACUGCCCUAUGGGUUGUAAACUUCUUUUAUAUGGGAAUAAAACGUUCCACGUGUGGGAUUUUGUAUGUACCAUAUGAAUAAGGAUCGGCUAACUCCGUGCCAGCAGCCGCGGUAAUACGGAGGAUCCGAGCGUUAUCCGGAUUUAUUGGGUUUAAAGGGAGCGUAGGUGGAUUGUUAAGUCAGUUGUGAAAGUUUGCGGCUCAACCGUAAAAUUGAAGUUGAAACUGGCAGUCUUGAGUACAGUAGAGGUGGGCGGAAUUCGUGGUGUAGCGGUGAAAUGCUUAGAUAUCACGAAGAACUCCGAUUGCGAAGGCAGUUCACUGGACUGCAACUGACACUGAGGCUCGAAAGUGUGGGUAUCAAACAGGAUUAGAUACCCCUGUAGUC